GCCUGGGUGGUUCAGUUGGUUGAGCAUCUGACUUCAGCUCAGGUCAUGAUCUCACGGUUCAUGGGUUUGAGCCCCGUGUCGGGCU
Molecule: transfer RNA, 85 nt
Filed under: Felis catus (domestic cat)
Lineage: Eukaryota; Metazoa; Chordata; Mammalia; Carnivora; Felidae
Rfam family: tRNA
About the family: Transfer RNA (tRNA) molecules are approximately 80 nucleotides in length. Their secondary structure includes four short double-helical elements and three loops (D, anti-codon, and T loops).
Source: Rfam by way of RNAcentral